RNAcentral lists this ribosomal RNA (497 nucleotides) under uncultured bacterium. RNAcentral describes it as "partial 16S ribosomal RNA". It matches the Rfam family "Bacterial small subunit ribosomal RNA", at positions 35 to 507 of the family's 1533-position model. The record is from RNAcentral.
GGGGGGCGGGGGCGGGGGGGGGGGGGCGGGCGGGGCGGGCGGGCGGGCGGGGGGCGGGCGGCGCUGGGGGUGGCGGCGGGCGGGUGAGGAACACGUGGAGAACCUACCCCUGAGACUGGGAUAACUUCGGGACACCGGAGCUAAUCCCGGAUGAUAUUUUGCACCGCAUGGUUCAAACGUGAAAGACGGUCUUGCUGUCCCUUAUAGCUGGAUCCGCGCUGCCUUAGCUAGUUGGUAAGGUAACGGCUUACCAAGGCAACGAUGCAUAGCCGACCUGAGAGGGUGAUCGGCCACACUGGAACUGAGACACGGUCCAGACUCCUACGGGAGGCAGCAGUAGGGAAUCUUCCGCAAUGGGCGAAAGCCUGACGGAGCAACGCCGCGUGAGUGAUGAAGGUCUUCGGAUCGUAAAACUCUGUUAUUAGGGAAGAACAGAUGUGUAAGUAACUGUGCACAUCUUGACGGUACCUAAUCAGAAAGCCACGGCUAACUACGUG